This 332-nucleotide ribosomal RNA is filed under the name uncultured Actinomycetes bacterium. RNAcentral describes it as "bacterial SSU rRNA". It matches the Rfam family "Bacterial small subunit ribosomal RNA", at positions 28 to 351 of the family's 1533-position model. The record is from RNAcentral. Lineage: Bacteria; Bacillati; Actinomycetota; Actinomycetes.
GACGAACGCUGGCGGCGUGCUUAACACAUGCAAGUCGAACGGGGUCCUGGUCGGUGGCAACACCCUCCAGUACCUAGUGGCGAACGGGUGAGGAACACGUGAGCAACCCACCCCGAACUCUGGGAUAACAGCGGGAAACCGCUGCUAAUACCGGAUACCUUCCUGCGGUCGCAUGGCCGUGCGAAGAAAGGUUUACCGGUUCGGGACGGGCUCGCGGCCUAUCAGCUUGUUGGUGGGGUAACGGCCUACCAAGGCUUCGACGGGUAGCUGGUCUGAGAGGAUGAUCAGCCACACUGGGACUGAGACACGGCCCAGACUCCUACGGGAGGCAG